AGAACGAACGCUGGCGGCAGGCUUAACACAUGCAAGUCGAGCGCCCCGCAAGGGGAGCGGCAGACGGGUGAGUAACGCGUGGGAAUCUACCCAUCUCUACGGAACAACUCCGGGAAACUGGAGCUAAUACCGUAUACGUCCUUCGGGAGAAAGAUUUAUCGGAGAUGGAUGAGCCCGCGUUGGAUUAGCUAGUUGGUGGGGUAAUGGCCUACCAAGGCGACGAUCCAUAGCUGGUCUGAGAGGAUGAUCAGCCACACUGGGACUGAGACACGGCCAGACUCCUACGGGAGGCAGCAGUGGGGAAUAGUUGGACAA
This 315-nucleotide ribosomal RNA is filed under the name uncultured soil bacterium. RNAcentral's name for it is "bacterial SSU rRNA". It matches the Rfam family "Bacterial small subunit ribosomal RNA", at positions 26 to 371 of the family's 1533-position model. The record is from RNAcentral.